Molecule: ribosomal RNA, 391 nt
Filed under: uncultured bacterium
Lineage: Bacteria
Description: bacterial SSU rRNA
Rfam family: Bacterial small subunit ribosomal RNA
Source: RNAcentral
CCUAACACAUGCAAGUCGAACGGUAACAGGAAACAGCUUGCUGUUUCGCUGACGAGUGGCGGACGGGUGAGUAAUGUCUGGGAAACUGCCUGAUGGAGGGGGAUAACUACUGGAAACGGUAGCUAAUACCGCAUAACGUCGCAAAACCAAAGAGGGGGACCUUCGGGCCUCUUGCCAUCGGAUGUGCCCAGAUGGGAUUAGCUAGUAGGUGGGGUAACGGCUCAUCUAGGCGACGAUCCCUAGCUGGUCUGAGAGGAUGACCAGCCACACUGGAACUGAGACACGGUCCAGACUCCUACGGGAGGCAGCAGUGGGGAAUAUUGCACAAUGGGCGCAAGCCUGAUGCAGCCAUGCCGCGUGUAUGAAGAAGGCCUCCGGGUUGUAAAGUACU